RNAcentral lists this ribosomal RNA (463 nucleotides) under uncultured Methanomethylovorans sp. Its description in RNAcentral is "bacterial SSU rRNA". It matches the Rfam family "Archaeal small subunit ribosomal RNA", at positions 875 to 1338 of the family's 1478-position model. The record is from RNAcentral. Lineage: Archaea; Methanobacteriati; Methanobacteriota; Methanomicrobia; Methanosarcinales; Methanosarcinaceae.
AGCACUACAACGGGUGGAGCCUGCGGUUUAAUUGGACUCAACGCCGGAAAACUCACCGGGGCGACAGCAAUAUGUAGGUCAAGCUAAAGACUUUACCAGAAUCGCUGAGAGGAGGUGCAUGGCCGUCGUCAGUUCGUACUGUGAAGCAUCCUGUUAAGUCAGGCAACGAGCGAGACCCGUGCCCACUGUUGCCAGCAUGUCCUUCGGGAUGAUGGGUACUCUGUGGGGACCGCCGAUGCUAAAUCGGAGGAAGGUGCGGGCUACGGUAGGUCAGUAUGCCCCGAAUCUCCCGGGCUACACGCGGGCUACAAUGACUGGGACAAUGGGCUCCUACCCCGAAAGGGGAUGGUAAUCUCAUAAACCCAGCCUUAGUUCGGAUCGAGGGCUGUAACCCGCCCUCGUGAAGCUGGAAUCCGUAGUAAUCGCGUUUCAACAUAGCGCGGUGAAUACGUCCCUGCUCCUU